UUGAUGUGGGUAUUUGAUUAUUUAGUUGAAUUGGAGAGAUUGUAGAGAAAUAUGAUGAUUUUGAGUUAUGGUUGAAUUGAAUGAUGAAGUUGAGGUAUAAAUCUGGAACUAACAGUAGGUGAUCUGUUGAAAUUCUGGGUUUGAGGUUGAAGAUGACGAAAAUUCAGUUUGGUCCCUCAAUUUAUGGAAAUUGCAGUUUAGUCCCCGAACUUUGGAAAUUUUACAGAUUGGUCCCUGGGGCAUAAAUUGAGG
Molecule: long non-coding RNA, 252 nt
Filed under: Populus tremula
Lineage: Eukaryota; Viridiplantae; Streptophyta; Magnoliopsida; Malpighiales; Salicaceae
Description: long non-coding RNA (PTRE_LNC001127)
Source: RNAcentral